AUCGAACGCUGGCGGCAUGCCUAACACAUGCAAGUCGAGCGGAGCGGCGGACGGGUGAGUGAUGCCUAGGAAUCUGCCUGGUUGUGGGGCAUAACGUCCGGAAACGGGCCCUUAUACCGCAUACUAUCAGAUGAGCUUUGGUCGGAUUAGCUGGUUGGUGGGGUAAAGGCUUACCAAGGUGACGAUCCGUAACAGGUCUGAGAGGAUGAUCAGUCACACUGGAACUGGGACACGGUCCAGACUCCUACGGGAGGCAGAAGUUGGGAAUCUUGGACAAUGGGCGAAAGCCUGAUCCAGCAAGGCCGCGUGUGUGAAGAGGGUCUUCGGAUUGUAAAGCACUGUAAGUUGGGAGGCGUUACCAAAAGAAUAAGCAACGGCUAACUUCGUGCCAGCAGCCGCGGUAAUAC
This 407-nucleotide ribosomal RNA is filed under the name uncultured bacterium. RNAcentral's name for it is "partial 16S ribosomal RNA". It matches the Rfam family "Bacterial small subunit ribosomal RNA", at positions 30 to 526 of the family's 1533-position model. The record is from RNAcentral.